Molecule: long non-coding RNA, 356 nt
Filed under: Mustela putorius furo (domestic ferret)
Lineage: Eukaryota; Metazoa; Chordata; Mammalia; Carnivora; Mustelidae
Description: lncRNA (ENSMPUG00000031916.1)
Source: RNAcentral
AAAGUUCUCUUGUGUUCACUUCCAGUGCCACCUAGGGAUGGAGAUAUUUUGACUUCUGCUGAGAUAAGCUAGUUUUUGCCUGUAUUUGGGAAGGGUUCGAGAUCUAUCCGUGUUGUUGCAUGUGGGAAGGUGGCGGAAUAGGAGGACCCAAAGCUCACCUCGUCCCAUGGAUACAAAUAGAUAACACUCACAUCAGCAUAAAUAACUCAGAAAAUGACCCAAAGACUGACAGAACAAAUUCCACAACUAAAGACAAAGGAGAGGCCACACUGAAGAAGGUAGGAGGGGUGAAUAUGAGGUUUGGAAGGAAAACAGACUGUGGAUGUCCCUGGCGGGGAGGGCUAUGGGGGGGGGCG